This 550-nucleotide ribosomal RNA is filed under the name Apilactobacillus kunkeei. RNAcentral's name for it is "bacterial SSU rRNA". It matches the Rfam family "Bacterial small subunit ribosomal RNA", at positions 1 to 524 of the family's 1533-position model. The record is from RNAcentral. Lineage: Bacteria; Bacillati; Bacillota; Bacilli; Lactobacillales; Lactobacillaceae.
GGGGAAUAAUAAAUUUUUUUUUUUACAGCGCUUGUAAUAAUGCAGUCGACGAGCUCUCCCAAAUUGAUUUUAUGCUUGCAUAAAUGAUUUUUGGAUUCGGAGCGAGUGGCGAACUGGUGAGUAACACGUGGGUAACCUGCCCCGAAGCGGGGGAUAACAUUUGGAAACAAGUGCUAAUACCGCAUAAUUAGUUGGAACCGCAUGGUUCCAACUUGAAAGAUGGCUCUGCUAUCACUUUGGGAUGGACCCGCGCCGUAUUAGUUAGUUGGUGAGAUAAAAGCCCACCAAGACGAUGAUACGUAGCCGACCUGAGAGGGUAAUCGGCCACAUUGGGACUGAGACACGGCCCAGACUCCUACGGGAGGCAGCAGUAGGGAAUCUUCCACAAUGGACGAAAGUCUGAUGGAGCAACGCCGCGUGAGUGAUGAAGGUUUUCGGAUCGUAAAACUCUGUUGUUAUAGGGGGAGCAAGUGAUAGAGUAACUGUUAACACUUUGACGGUAUUUAACCAGAAAGCCACGCCUAACUACGUGCCAACAGCCGCCGGUAAU